RNAcentral lists this ribosomal RNA (506 nucleotides) under Fusarium oxysporum. RNAcentral describes it as "eukaryotic LSU rRNA". The stretch from base 168 to 321 matches the Rfam family "5.8S ribosomal RNA". Lineage: Eukaryota; Fungi; Ascomycota; Sordariomycetes; Hypocreales; Nectriaceae. The record is from RNAcentral.
GACUGCGGAGGGAUCAUUACCGAGUUUACAACUCCCAAACCCCUGUGAACAUACCACUUGUUGCCUCGGCGGAUCAGCCCGCUCCCGGUAAAACGGGACGGCCCGCCAGAGGACCCCUAAACUCUGUUUCUAUAUGUAACUUCUGAGUAAAACCAUAAAUAAAUCAAAACUUUCAACAACGGAUCUCUUGGUUCUGGCAUCGAUGAAGAACGCAGCAAAAUGCGAUAAGUAAUGUGAAUUGCAGAAUUCAGUGAAUCAUCGAAUCUUUGAACGCACAUUGCGCCCGCCAGUAUUCUGGCGGGCAUGCCUGUUCGAGCGUCAUUUCAACCCUCAAGCACAGCUUGGUGUUGGGACUCGCGUUAAUUCGCGUUCCCCAAAUUGAUUGGCGGUCACGUCGAGCUUCCAUAGCGUAGUAGUAAAACCCUCGUUACUGGUAAUCGUCGCGGCCACGCCGUUAAACCCCAACUUCUGAAUGUGACCUCGGAUCAGGUAGGAAUCCAGGAUUG